AGAGAGAGAGAUUGUUAUGUUUGAAAAUGGCGAACCCUAGAAGAAGCUCACAUUCAAUCUCAGACAGCCCAUCAUCAAAUCCACCCCCACUACAGAUUCAAAGUCAAAGCCAUAUCCUUCUUCACUUCCUGAAGAAGCCUCAGGCCUUCCCUUUCCUCCUCUUCCUCUUCCUUCUUCUCACAUGGCUCUUUCUCCGACUCCAUUCCCCAACUCCCAAUUCUCCUCUUCAUUCUUCUUCUUCUUCUCAUCAAUGGACCCAAUUCGAUGAUUCCCGCGCCAAUCUUCGAAGAUUCUCUUCUGGGUUUCCUUCUACACUCGCUAAAGAUCACAGGGGCUGGUUAUUCAACCCCAUUUCUCUCGCUCUUCAUUCUCGCCUCUCCGGUGGUGCUGUAAGUUGUGUGUCUGUUCAUGUUGGAGAGAUUCGACCCGGUGGUUUACGAGGAAAUCACAGACACUACUCUUGUAAUGAAACAUUUGUCAUAUGGGGAGCUAAAACAAAAUUCAGGUUGGAGAACAAUGAAGCAAAAGAAGGUUAUGCUGAGGUGAUAAUCGGUGCAGAUGAGGUUGCUCUUGCGGCGAGCCCAAGUGGAACUGCUCAUGCUAUAAUAAACAUGGAUCCAAUGCGUUCUACCUACUUGUUAGGAUGCCAAGAUAGCAUUGUAAACUAUAACAGUUCAGCUACUGACUUUAAUGUUUGGAAAGAUCUUUAAGUUUCGUUUCUCCUUCUUUCCAGGCAAGUUUUUCCAAUCUAAGUGACUUGGGUUGGGACUCUUACCAUGUCUAUAUCUAUAUAUUUAAUUGAAAUGACCACAGUUUCAUUACUUUAAAUAUUUUAUUUGAUUUCGGGAUAUGUUAUGGUUUGCUUGAAGGAAACAAAAAACAAGUAAAAGAUCGAAAUUGUUGUUUGAUGGUUUUUGGAAACCUAGCAUACUUGCUCAAGUUUUACUUUCCUCAACAAACCGCGAAUGGAUUGGUUGAAGAAGCAGCUUCUUGGACAGCUAUGAUUUCUGGCUAUGCUCGUUGUGGUCAAAAAGGCGACACUAUAAGAUUGUUGGGGAGAAUGCUGUUCAGGAAUUUGUAUACUUGGAUAUCAAUAAUUGUUGGUUCUGCUCAACUUGGUCAAGCCAAGAUGGUCAAGCCAAAUGAAGUUACUUUUGUCGGUUUGCUCUAUUCUUGUAGCCAUGUUGGUUUAGUCAACAGAGGAAGAGUUUUCUUUCGAUUCGAUGAUCAAGGAUUAUGGAAUUAAUCCCUCUCUUCAACACUACACUUGCUUUGUUGAUCUUCUUAGUCGUUCAGGACACUUUGAUGAGGCUGAGAAUGUUUAAACUUGAUCCCUUUCGAGCUCGAUGAAGCUAUUUGGGCAGCAUUGUUAACUUCUUGCAAGAAUCUGGGAAAUACCCAGAUGGCGAUUAGGAUAGCGAAUCGAAUUUCGAGUACUAAACUCAAAGACCCUUCUACUUACAUAAUGUUAUCUAAUGUCUAUGCAGGAGCUAAUAAGUGGGAAAAUGUGUCAAAAGUGAGAAAGCUAAUGACUUCUCUAGAUGUUAAGAAGAAACCGGGUUAUAGCUCCAUCGAGUUUGGAAAAGAAAGCAAGAGAAGGAAAGGCAACUGUUUUCGCAUAGCGAGAGGUUGGCUGUAGCUUUCGGGUUGCUCAAGGCUGUCCCGGGGACAGUUAUUCGGGUAGUGAAAAACCUUCGGGUUUGUGGAGAUUGUCAUACAGUUUUGAAAUUCAUAAGUAGUAUUGUUGAGAGGGAGAUUGUUGUUAGAGAUGCUAAUAGAUAUCAUCAUUUCAAGGAUGGGAAUUGUUCAUGCAAUGAUUUUUGGUGAUAACUAUAAUAACAAACAUAGUUGUAAAUCUUUUUCUCUCUUAGCCAAGAGUGUUCUUUAGUUAUUUACUUUGGUUAAUUUG
Molecule: RNA transcript, 1909 nt
Organism: Cannabis sativa
Lineage: Eukaryota; Viridiplantae; Streptophyta; Magnoliopsida; Rosales; Cannabaceae
Exons: 4
Source: RefSeq, a predicted model, not a curated record